This 85-nucleotide ribosomal RNA is filed under the name Paenibacillus ottowii. RNAcentral's name for it is "partial 23S ribosomal RNA". It matches the Rfam family "Bacterial large subunit ribosomal RNA", at positions 2840 to 2925 of the family's 2925-position model. The record is from RNAcentral. Lineage: Bacteria; Bacillati; Bacillota; Bacilli; Caryophanales; Paenibacillaceae.
GAAGACGACGAGGUAGAUAGGUUGGGGGUGGAAGUGCAGUAAUGCAUGGAGCUGACCAAUACUAAUCGGUCGAGGGCUUAUCCUA